UACGUAGGAUGCAAGCGUUGUCCGGAUUUACUGGGCGUAAAGAGCUCGUAGGUGGUUUGUCACGUCGUCUGUGAAAUUCCGGGGCUUAACCUCGGGCGUGCAGGCGAUACGGGCAAUACUUGAGUGCUGUAGGGGAGACUGGAAUUCCUGGUGUAGCGGUGAAAUGCGCAGAUAUCAGGAGGAACACCAAUGGCGAAGGCAGGUCUCUGGGCAGUUACUGACGCUGAGGAGCGAAAGCAUGGGUAGCGAACAGGAUUAGA
RNAcentral lists this ribosomal RNA (260 nucleotides) under uncultured prokaryote. RNAcentral describes it as "partial 16S ribosomal RNA". It matches the Rfam family "Bacterial small subunit ribosomal RNA", at positions 524 to 782 of the family's 1533-position model. The record is from RNAcentral.